CCUGAACGCUGGCGGCGUGGCUAAGACAUGCAAGUCGCACGGGCCUCGCAAGAGGUCAGUGGCGAACGGGUGAGUAAAGAAUCGCUAACGUACCCCGGACUCUGGGAUAGCUACCCGAAAGGGUGGGUAAUACCAGAUGAUAUAACUUUCCUGCAUGGGAGAGUUCUCAAAGGCCGCCGGCAACGGUGGAACGGUCUGGGAGCGGGCGAUUUCGUAUCAGCUAGUUGGUGAGGUAACGGCUCACCAAGGCGACGACGCGUAGCCGGACUGAGAGGUUGGCCGGCCACAUUGGGACUGAGACACUGCCCAGACUCCUACGGGGGCGUGCAGUGACGAAUCUUCCGCAAUGCACGCAAGUGUGACGGAGCGACGCCGCGUGUGGGACGAAGCCCUUCGGGGUGUAAACCACUGUCAGGGGACAGAAAGUUCUGAUCGUCCCCAGAGGAAGGCACGGCUAACUCUGUGCCAGCAG
This 472-nucleotide ribosomal RNA is filed under the name uncultured bacterium. Its description in RNAcentral is "bacterial SSU rRNA". It matches the Rfam family "Bacterial small subunit ribosomal RNA", at positions 30 to 514 of the family's 1533-position model. The record is from RNAcentral.